RNAcentral lists this ribosomal RNA (253 nucleotides) under uncultured bacterium. RNAcentral's name for it is "partial 16S ribosomal RNA". It matches the Rfam family "Bacterial small subunit ribosomal RNA", at positions 524 to 776 of the family's 1533-position model. The record is from RNAcentral.
CACGUAGGGCGCAAGCGUUGUCCGGAAUUAUUGGGCGUAAAGAGCUCGUAGGCGGACUGUCACGUCUGCUGUGAAAAGCUGGGGCUUAACCCUGGCCUUGCAGUGGAUACGGGCAGACUAGAGGUAGGUAGGGGAGAAUGGAAUUCCCGGUGUAGCGGUGAAAUGCGCAGAUAUCGGGAGGAACACCGGUGGCGAAGGCGGUUCUCUGGGCCUUACCUGACGCUGAGGAGCGAAAGCGUGGGGAGCAAACAGG